This is a long non-coding RNA of Leopardus geoffroyi (Geoffroy's cat), 594 nucleotides long. RefSeq lists it as uncharacterized. The transcript has 2 exons. The record is from RefSeq and is a predicted model, not a curated record. Lineage: Eukaryota; Metazoa; Chordata; Mammalia; Carnivora; Felidae.
CCGGUGGCUAGGGGGUGGCAGGGCAGCCUCGCGGCUCUGCUCCGAGGCUCUGCGUCCGGAGCCCCGAAAUCCCGAGCUCGCUCUGCGCUCGGCUCCCUGAAGCCGGCGGCGGGGUUGGAAACGGGGCUGGGGGUGCGGCGGCUCAGGGCCCGCUGGGCCGGGGGCCGCUCUCCCCGACGCAGGGUGGGGUCACCGAGGAGGGUCUAGGCCGCAGGAAGAGGCGACUUGCCCCCACCAAGCCCGCGUGGGCGAGACGCGGUGCCCGGGUGGGCCAGGAGAGCCUCGCGGUGUGGAGGCCGUGAGGGAAGACAUGCGCCCAGUGAGGCUCUCGGCAAGGGCCGCGGCGGCCCGAGCAGUCCGGGGAUCGGGAAAGCUUCCCGGAGAGAUGACUGGCCGCGCCCCUGCCGCCUCCCGAGGAGGUCUGGCCCUGCAGGCCCAGCACAGUUGCCCACGUGGAAGACUCUGGAGCCACGACCAAGCACAGCUAACGGAGAUGUCUCCUCGCUUGGCAGGGACUCGCCCUGGGUACCGUUGUACAGACCUGGGACUUAGGAAUGGAAUAAUAAGAAAUAAAACAAGUAAGGGGCGUCUGGG